UAGGGAAUCUUCCGCAAUGGACGAAAGCCUGACGGAGCAACGCCGCGUGAGUGAUGAAGGUCUUCGGAUCGUAAAACUCUGUUAUUAGGGAAGAACAAAUGUGUAAGUAACUAUGCACGUCUUGACGGUACCUAAUCAGAAAGCCACGGCUAACUACGUGCCAGCAGCCGCGGUAAUACGUAGGUGGCAAGCGUUAUCCGGAAUUAUUGGGCGUAAAGCGCGCGUAGGCGGUUUUUUAAGUCUGAUGUGAAAGCCCACGGCUCAACCGUGGAGGGUCAUUUGAAUCUUGACAACUUUAGUUCCGACGCGGAAAGUGGAAUUCCAUGUUUAUCAGUUAAAUGCGCAUCGAUAUGGCGGACCUCCCGUGGCGAAGGCGACUUUCUGGUCUGUAACUGACCCUGAUGUGCGAAAGCGUGGGGAUCAAACAGG
Molecule: ribosomal RNA, 429 nt
Filed under: Actinomycetes bacterium
Lineage: Bacteria; Bacillati; Actinomycetota; Actinomycetes
Description: Actinobacteria bacterium partial 16S ribosomal RNA
Rfam family: Bacterial small subunit ribosomal RNA
Source: RNAcentral